Molecule: microRNA precursor, 77 nt
Filed under: Haemonchus placei
Lineage: Eukaryota; Metazoa; Nematoda; Chromadorea; Rhabditida; Trichostrongylidae
Description: mir-5928 microRNA precursor family
Rfam family: mir-5928 microRNA precursor family
Source: Rfam by way of RNAcentral
GGAACACAAACUUGAAGUAGAGUAGAUUGGUAGGAUCAGCUGACGACACCCAACUACUCUACUUCACGUUUGUGCCC